This 1912-nucleotide unclassified non-coding RNA is filed under the name Leishmania donovani. RNAcentral's name for it is "gene:LdHU3.25.2760(CDS-product:vacuolar_protein_s orting-associated_protein_33_putative)". Lineage: Eukaryota; Euglenozoa; Kinetoplastea; Trypanosomatida; Trypanosomatidae. The record is from RNAcentral.
ACAGCUCAGUGAACAACAAAGGUGACAAAGAAUGACACUCCACAAGGAUACUUCGCCCCUAGUGGAGGGCUUGAAUCAAGUUCCCAAGCAGGAGUUUCUAAGCGUUCUUAGCAGGGUGUACGAGGGACACGGAACCGCCAUUGUUUUUAUCGAGCAGCACAUUCUCUCUGCUCUCAGCCGCCUAGGAAUUGCAACACGGAACUUUGGUCGCGACAAAGGAGUCGUCGGCGUCUUUCCGUUUCAAAACGACAUUAACUACGUUUCAGCCGACAACGUUGUGUACAUUCUGAACCCAGACCUGAGCAGCAUGCGAUCCGUUGUCGUUCACUUGCUUUCCUAUACGCAGCGAUUUGCAAAUUCAAAGCCGACGAUUCUCUAUGUCCCCCAAAAAACGUUGAUUGCAGAGCAGGUGAUGGAGGACGAGUUCAAGCUCUCCCAUACAUUUCCGAGCUUACGCAUCGCAAGUCUUGAUGUAGACUACGUUUUUCUGGAGGAGAAGUUUUUUACAAUGACGCUGCCGCUAUCGUUCAAAUCGGUGUUUGCAGACGGCGACUUGAGCAACCUGACUUGGAUUGCCAGGCUUUUGCUUAAGCUGCAAACAUCGCGCUUCGGUGCCAUUCGACACAUCCGUGGAAAGGGCAGCAACGCGGCCAGGGUCGUUCAGCUUCUUCAGCGCAUGCAGAACUAUAUCGGCCACGAUUUCAUCACUGACAUUCCCUCCGAAGUAGAGACGCUCAUCAUUAUCGAUCGUUCCGCAGACUUCGUCACACCGCUGAUGACACAGCUCACGUACGAAGGGCUUAUAGACGAGUUGUACGACAUUGAGAACUGUGAGGUGCAAUUUCCGUUCAGCCUGGGCGAGAGUUCCGGUGUGGGGGCGAGCGAGAAGGUUGUUCUGAACAACACGGACAGAAUGUUUGCUGAAAUUCGCGACAAGAGUUUCACCGGGGUGGGAUCGGUGCUUUACCAAAAAUCCAUCUGGGUAAAGCAAAACUAUGACAAGCGGAAGGAGGUUCAGCAGCUGAAGGAGCUGAAGGAGUUCAUGAAAGGGCUCCCAGAGAUGCAGGAAAUGCAUCGAUUGAUUGGCAUUCAUACGAAUGUUGCUACUGAAAUCAGCAAAACCACGCAGAGCACAGAUUUUAGGAAACGUAUCCUGUUUGAGCACAACAUCAUUCAACAGAUCAAUGAGGGUGAUGUUCUGAGAUAUAUUGAGGAUCUUGUUUUUCGCAAGGAAAAGUUUGAGGUCGUUGCCCGCCUACUGGCGCUCCUGUCCCUUGUCAACGGUGGGCUGCGCGAGAAGGACUUGCUCAGCCUCAAGGAGAACAUGAUGCUUGUCUACGGCAUUCCGCAUGUGAUCACCGCCUUUUUCCUGCUGGAGAGGUGCGGCUUGCUUUGCGCACAGAGCGGAAAGGGAAGCAGCUACCCGACCAUUCGCAAGCAGCUUCAAACCUGGAAUUCAUCGCUGACUGAGGAGCAUCCGAAUGAUAUCACCUACGCGUACGGCGGCUACGCACCCCCUUUUGUCCGCAUGGUAGACACUCUACUACGCAAUCCACAAGCCUGGGACGCGGAGGAUGACGCACCAAGUCUUCUCCCUGGUGAAAAGAUGGAGUUAAUGAAUGACGUAGAGAUUGCCAGCACAGCAAAGACGGCCAUCGUCUUUGUUAUUGGCGGAAUCACAGCUUCGGAGGUGAGUGCCCUGCGCUUUGUAGAGGAGCGGCUGUCAAGCGGCGGAAGACCUCAUCGCAUCUUUAUAGGCACCACAGACCUCAUAAGCGGAAAUCGCAUGAUUCGAUCGUUGCUUCCGUUUGACCCGGCUCGGUGAAGGCAUUAUCUCUCUCUGCGCUCCGCUUUCCGUUUGUUUGUUCCCCCUUUUCCCUUGCGUGUGUGAGCAACAGCUUCGCAAUAGCAG